This is a long non-coding RNA of Neopelma chrysocephalum (saffron-crested tyrant-manakin), 1291 nucleotides long. RefSeq lists it as uncharacterized. Lineage: Eukaryota; Metazoa; Chordata; Aves; Passeriformes; Pipridae. The transcript has 4 exons. The record is from RefSeq and is a predicted model, not a curated record.
CAAGGCAUAACUGAAAACCAUUAGCUCCAGUUUCUUUUACAAAAUAAAAAAAUUCCCUUUCCUCCAAAAAAAUACUCAAAAGCCCCAAAGCAUAGCAGAAGUUUGAGAGACAGAGAUACAUAUACUAGGAAGCAUCAGAACAUUGAAAACCAGCUGUGAUAACAUUCUAAUGGGAAAAAUCCAAAUCACUUGAAAGAUGCAUAACUGGUACAAAACUGCCACUGUUUGGGGAAAAAAAAAAGAGUCCCUAAAGUUCAUUCAAAGUUUAGUUCUUUUUAUCUUGCAAAUCAAUACUGCUUUAUGUUACUGGAUUCUUUAUUCAGAAGUAGUCUUUCAAGGCCAGACUCUGUAGCCUGUAUUCACACAAGUGAACAUGAAGGGAUGAAUAUGCAGAUGGAUUAUCCAGGCUUACAUGGAUACCAGUGUCAGAGCAGCGUAGAACUGAGAAAAUCUUGAAGUCUUCUUUGCUAUUCAGCACUAUUUCAUGACAGACUCUCAUUUCAAAUGGUGUGUUAAGGACAACUGAUCUAGCACAUAGGGGUAACCUAAAUACUAAGUCAUCUAAAAAUAUUAUUUCCACUUUUAUUGGUGAUUAUAAAAGAUCAGAAUAUGCACUAUCUCUCAGUCAACCAUACAUUCAUUAGAAUUCAGCGUGAAAAAUAACAUCUGUAUUCUCUGAAAGAAAAAUGAAAAUUAUGCAAGGAAAUCACUAAGAAAAAAAGAAACUUCUGACAAAUUUCUCAUUGGUCUUUGGAGGUAUUUAUGUGAGAGAAAAUGACAGGCAUUCAUUUAUACCACUUUCAUGAAACUUUGGGUUUUAUGGAUUCUGUAGUAUGUAACACCCCCAUUCCAGAAUCCUUCUGUAACAGAUUCUUAUUACAAAAGGAAUGAUGUUCUUUUUUCUCUGAAGUUAUCAAAUGAUUGCUAAGUACAAUAUAGACAGGAUUUCAGAAUACAUGAUUGGACUUUCUCAUAGGAAAGAAAAGGUUUUUUUCAGGAGUAAAAAUAUUUUUAUAAUGUGGAAAACCUUUCCUUUUCCUUUGUUUCUAGGAUAACAUCGAACCUCCAUCCCACAGGACUGAUAUUUUUCUUACUGAAAGCAUAAUUCCUUCUGAUCCAAUUGUGAGUUCCAACUGUAUUAAGACUGAAGGCUGGAAGUCUGCCACAUCCAUCUAGAAUUUUAAUUAGAUAAAAGUAUGUGCUUAGACUUAAGCACAGACUUAAACUCUUGUUUGAGUGGGAUCUAUGUCAGUAUCUUGGCAGGAGCUCAACAAAUACAGCCCAAAGCAAU